This 466-nucleotide ribosomal RNA is filed under the name uncultured bacterium. Its description in RNAcentral is "partial 16S ribosomal RNA". It matches the Rfam family "Bacterial small subunit ribosomal RNA", at positions 28 to 507 of the family's 1533-position model. The record is from RNAcentral.
GACGAACGCUGGCGGCGUGCUUAACACAUGCAAGUCGAACGAUGAAGCCUAGCUUGCUGGGUGGAUUAGUGGCGAACGGGUGAGUAACACGUGAGUAACCUGCCCCUUACUCUGGGAUAAGCGCUGGAAACGGCGUCUAAUACUGGAUAUUACCUAUCAUCGCAUGGGGUUUGGUGGAAAGAUUUUUCGGUUUGGGAUGGACUCGCGGCCUAUCAGCUUGAUGGUGAGGUAGUGGCUCACCAUGGCGACGACGGGUAGCCGGCCUGAGAGGGUGACCGGCCACACUGGGACUGAGACACGGCCCAGACUCCUACGGGAGGCAGCAGUGGGGAAUAUUGCACAAUGGGCGCAAGCCUGAUGCAGCAACGCCGCGUGAGGGAUGACGGCCUUCGGGUUGUAAACCUCUUUUAGUAGGGAAGAAGCGUAAGUGACGGUACCUACAGAAAAAGCACCGGCUAACUACGUG